GGUGCGCAGGUGGCAUGGCAAGUUUGAUGUGAAAUCUCCGGGCUCAACCCGGAAAUGGCAUUGAAUACUGUCGUGCUGGAGGUUUGGAGGGGGGACUGGAAUUCUCGGUGUAGCAGUGAAAUGCGUAGAUAUCGAGAGGAACACCAGUGGCGAAGGCGAGUCCCUGGACAACACCUGACACUGAGGCACGAAAGCCGGGGGAGCAAACAGGAUUAGAUACCCUGGUAGUCCCGGCCCUAAACGGUGCGUGUUUGCUGUAGGAGGAAUCGACCCCUUCUGUGGCGAAGCUAACGCGUUAAACACGCCGCCUGGGGAGUACGGUCGCAAGAUUAAAACUCAAAGAAAUUGACGGGGGCCUGCACAAGCGGUGGAGUAUGUGGCUUAAUUCGAUGCAACGCGAAGAACCUUACCUGGCCUUGACAUGCAAGUGGUAGAACCAUGAAAGUGGGACGACCCCGCAAGGGGAGCUUGCACAGGUGCUGCAUGGCUGUCGUCAGCUCGUGUCGUGAGAUGUUGGGUUAAGUCCCGCAACGAGCGCAACCCUUGUGUCCUGUUGCCACCCCCACGAGAGUGGGGAGCACUCUGGACAGACUGCCUCGCUUAAACGGGGAGGAAGGUG
This 619-nucleotide ribosomal RNA is filed under the name uncultured bacterium. Its description in RNAcentral is "bacterial SSU rRNA". It matches the Rfam family "Bacterial small subunit ribosomal RNA", at positions 566 to 1175 of the family's 1533-position model. The record is from RNAcentral.